Molecule: unclassified non-coding RNA, 206 nt
Filed under: Hevea brasiliensis (rubber tree)
Lineage: Eukaryota; Viridiplantae; Streptophyta; Magnoliopsida; Malpighiales; Euphorbiaceae
Source: RNAcentral
GGACCAAAAAAUAAAACAAGUUGAAAAGAAAUAGAAAAUGAAUAUACAAAUAGCGUGUUUAGAUUUGUUAAUCUACCCACCCCAAGGUUAACAUUUAUCCCCUAAAAAGAAGUUAAAUGUUAAUGAGGUUAAAAAUUAACCUGUUCACUUUAAAGCAUUCAAACAGCAUUAAAAAUUACAAAGUUAAUUAUUAACCCUUAUUAAUC